AACUCCUCCCCUCUGUCUUCUUCGUUCUCUGUUCACCGACCGCGGUGGACGACCGUGUGUCGUCCAUAGAUGGAUUAGCCACGAGGCGGCCAUCCCGCGCCUCCCCACCGUCUCCCAGCGGGGGAUAAGACCGAACCCGACGCCGCUGUCGAACCCUAUCCUAUCCACUUCUUCCCCUUCCCUCUCCUCCCCGAUCUGGAGAGGCACCCGUACGCAGCCGUCAACGCCGCCUCAUCGUUGACACGCUCCGGCACCACCCCGUCGCGCCCGAAGGCACCCAGGAGCUGCGCCUCGACGUCCUCUACCUCCACGGCAACCGGCUCGAGCUGGAGUGCCCCGGAGCCGCAGCCAUGGACCCCUCCUCUUCGACCAGGGAUGUCUGCUCCGCCUCGUCGAUCUGCUACCUCCGGUCCUCCCCGAACCACCCCGAGCUCGCCACCGCCUUCCCCUCGGUGAGCCGCACCCAUUCCCCCUUUCCCCCCUCGGAUUUGUCGCCGUAUGAGCGCGCCCCGCGUCGCUGUUGCUCCUGCUAUUGUCGCCUUGCUCGUGUGCGCCUUCGCCUUGCCAGGCCCGCCCCCUGUCGACCGAAGUCGUGCCCACACGCGCGGACUGCUGCCCCCGCUCGCAUCGUUGCCCCCUACCGCUGCGUCAACUACCUCGGCCAAGCGCGACUACAGACCCGCACCGGCCGCUGCGGCUGUUGCCGCCGUGGACUCCGCCCCGUUCGCAGCAGCGGCUGUGUCUCGCCAUUCCUCGGGCCGACCGCGCCCGCUCCGCCCAUCUCCGCCGCCUGCCGCUCGCUCGUCGGCGGUGACCCGCCCACCACCGGCCACCACACCCCGCGCCCACUGCCGGCCUCCACUCCCCAUGCGGCCUGCUGCCGCCCCCCUGCUAGCUGCUUUUGGCUGCUGCUGCCGCUCGAUACAGGCCGGGUGCCCCUGUUGUAUUACGUGCUAAUGCCCCCUAAUCGUAACACUAAUUAGGCGCUGAUAGUAGGCCCCACUACUUAAUUAGAUUAACUAAACCCAUUUAAAACUCAAUUUAACAAAUUGUCCCACUGACAUAUGGGUCCCCGUGCUAAAUAAAUCUAGUUACUUAAAUAGUUUAACUAGCGGUCUAUGACAUGUGGCCCCUACAUGACAGUUGGACCAGUCAACAAGUUGACUGUUGACCGUUGACUAGGCAGUCAACAGGGCCCACCUGUCAGUCAAAUAGAAAUAUCUUUGGGUACACUUAUGUGUACCCGUAGCAUUUAGUAUUUAAUAUAUUUCAGAAUUAAAUUAACUCCAGAAUUUUAGAAAAUCAUUUAAAGCUUUAAAAAUUAAUAUAAAAUAAACCGUAGCUCGGAUGAAAAAACUUUGUACAUGAAAGUUGCUCAGAACGACAAGAGGAAUCCGGAUACGCAGUCCGUUCGCCCGCCACACAUCCCUAGCAUAGCAAGCCUGCAACAUUUCACCUCUGGCUCAUCUGUCCGAAAAUGCGAAACACCGGGAACACUUUUCCGGAUGUUUCCCCCCUUCGCCGAUAUCACCUACCACUAUGUUAGGUCACCCCUAGCACCGCAUAUUGCCGCGUCUUGCUUUGUGUUACAUUUGAUUGCUCUGUUAUUUAUUGUGUUCCCCCUUCGUUACUUCUUUCCGGUAGACUCUGAGACCGGUGACGAUGUCCGUGUGUUUGACUACACCGAAGAUGACCC
RNAcentral lists this long non-coding RNA (1696 nucleotides) under Triticum aestivum (bread wheat). RNAcentral describes it as "long non-coding RNA (TAES_LNC015977)". Lineage: Eukaryota; Viridiplantae; Streptophyta; Magnoliopsida; Poales; Poaceae. The record is from RNAcentral.